UUUUAACUUUCUAAAAUUCCUAAAUCCUUGCUCUCUCUCACCUCUUUUCUUCUGUUCUCCUCUCUAUGUCCUUAUUGUCCUCAGGUUCUCACCUUCUCAUUCCAAACAAUUUUUUUUUCCUGGUAGCAUGGAAAGUGAAAGAAACUGGAGGUAGGAAGACGAGGCUCUUGUGUCUCAUCUAUGGUGGUAUCUUCCUGGAGUGGAAUCUAGGGCGCGGCGGAAGCCAUACGCUUGCAAGAAGGGGAAGUGAAAGGCGGAGGACUUUUGGGUUUUAUUGGCCGAGAAGCAAGGGCACGGUGUCUCUCCAUGGAUUUGGUUCGGUCUCGGUGUGGAAGCCCGGGGAAUCAGCUUUGUGGAUAGUGGUUUUGUGGUUGUGGGAUUUUGGAAACCCUAGAUUUGGUUCAGGGUAGGGUUGUGUGGUUGACUGAUUAGGUUGGGAGCUGGGCUGCGCAUGCGAUUGACUGGGUUUUCAUGCCGUCAAAACCACUGCCUUGGGAUCGGAAGGACUUCUUCAAGGAGAGGAAGCACGAGAGGUCGGAGUCUUUAGGUUUGCUGCAAGAUAGAGGGACUCACAUCAAGUUUCUUGGGAGUUUGCUCGUUGGGAUCGGCAGAUUUUCGCCGCCCUACAGGACAGUUGGGAAUUCAUAGGAAGAUUUGUCCAGAGAUGGUUAUUAUCUUUUGGCAGAAACACUCAAAGAUGAGGGUGAGAAACAGGUUGUUCAAGCAGUUUUAGUGAAACAUAUCUGGGUUAAACUAGUCAAAGAUAACUUGUACCAUCAGGACUCUCAAAACCUUGUUGUGGAGAGGCGUGAAGAGUGACCUAUGGCGCUUGUCACUUUGAAUGCUUUUGAUCUUAUCUUGACAUCUCAGGGUCUCAACCUCGGUACUCUCUUUGAAAAGCCAAUGAUGAAACUUGAAGGGGAGAAAUUUGGAUGCAAGGGUCAUUUUGUCUAUUGCAAUAGAGGCAUUUCUCUCCUAGUUGCCUUGUUUGCAGGAACCCCUGACCAUGAGUUCAUUGGAACAUUACCUGAAGAUGUCUCAAUUGGAUGUCAAUAAUUUACUUGGACAAAUUUUUGAAGUGACCCUUUGCUAUACAUGGUCAAGCUUUGAAAAUCUGGGGGAGAUACUCUAGAAUUUCACAAGGUAUGUAUCUACUAUCUCAAUGCAAUUCUCAUAUUAAAUUAGAAUGAAUAUUGAAUUUUUAUCCCGGGCAUAUUGGUUGCCAAUAUCUUGUUUGAUACCGAAGCCCUACCCUCUUUUAUGUAAAAAGCAUGUGUGAUAAAAUGUAGUGAUGUUUAUGCUAAAACGAGCUUCUACUACCUAUCUUUAAUUUAUUCCAAAAGUAAUUAGACCCCUAGAUAGGGGUCUCUUGGAUAUAAGGACCUUAAAUUCAAUGUAAGACCUGUAUUAAAUUGGCUCCUUAGGGAAUUGACACCCUGAACACAAUAUUAUUUUCCCAUGUUAGGAAAGCAGUCCAUUUUUCUCUAUAAAUUAUGAUUAAUAAAUUCAAUCAUUCACUAAAUUUGUCUUAUGUGCAAUUCUACAAGAACCUCUCAAUUGGGUUGAAAGAUAUUGUCUAGAAAUCAGGAGAUGAAGUAAAAGAGGAAGUGAAUAAUGGUUAGUGUGCAUUAUAACAUAGAUUAACGCAUUUUGCUUGAGUUUAAAUCAUUGUUCCUUUAAUGGCUUUUAAAUGGUGGUCAAUACUUGAAUUUAUAAAUCUAGCCAUGCAAUUGCAUAGAUAGAAAAAGAAAUCAUAUGUAGAACUUGAGAAUAUUAGAAUUUGUAUGGUUUUUGAGAAAAUUUAAACAAAAGAAAAUAAAAAUGAAACAAUUUGUCGUUUCCUAAAAAAUGAAAAAAUCUCAUUGAUGAAAUCUUAUGCAAAAAUUUGUUUAGUCCUUUCUCUUAGGGUUUGGUUCUUGCAAAGUAAUACUUAAGUUAUAUAACAACAACAUGAAUAUUCUUUAUUCCCCUGCAUAAGGUUCAUCAGUUUCUCGAGGAAACUUCAUUCUUCAGUGACAUGCAAUAAUUGUUUUUGAAAGAUGGCUACUGUAAACAUAGAAUCAAUAUGAAAGUUUAUAUACAUGUCACUUAUAAUUAGUUGCCAUAUGCUCUAACCAUCCAUUCGUUAGUGCAUGCAUGUUGCCUAUUCUUGGUCUUCACAUUUUAUAGGCAUGGAGAUGAUACUACAUUUGGCUUGUGGUUGUCUACAUGGUUUUGGAAAUUAUGGAUACGCAUGUUUGAGGCCUUUUGGUUUUGUAUGUCGUGGAAGAUACAAUUCCACCAAUGGAUUAUGACAGUGUCUUUUAAUGCAUUGCGGUCGAUAUGUCAUGGCAGGAGAGAUUACAAAAAUACAUAAAGAGGUAAAUCUAUGUUAUCUGCUAAUAAAAAUAACACCUUCUUUGUUUUGGUGGGAUUUGUGAACUAAAAGAAAUGUUUUUGACUCA
Long non-coding RNA from Vitis vinifera (wine grape), 2444 nucleotides. RefSeq lists it as uncharacterized. NCBI's taxonomy places the organism in Eukaryota, Viridiplantae, Streptophyta, Magnoliopsida, Vitales, Vitaceae. The record is from RefSeq and is a predicted model, not a curated record. The transcript is spliced from 4 exons.